UACAGAGGGUGCGAGCGUUGUCCGGAAUCACUGGGCGUAAAGGGCGCGUAGGUGGCGACCCAAGUCGAUGGUGAAAGCUCGCCGCUCAACGGCGAGUCGGCCACCGAUACUGGGUUGCUCGAGCACUGUAGAGGCUCAUGGAAUUCCGGGUGUAGCGAUGGAAUGCGUAGAGAUCCGGAAGAACACCGGUGGCGAAGGCGGUGAGCUGGGCAGUUGCUGACACUGAGGCGCGACAGCGUGGGGAGCAAACAGG
This 253-nucleotide ribosomal RNA is filed under the name uncultured bacterium. RNAcentral's name for it is "partial 16S ribosomal RNA". It matches the Rfam family "Bacterial small subunit ribosomal RNA", at positions 524 to 776 of the family's 1533-position model. The record is from RNAcentral.